UACAGUGAAAUGCUGAAUACAACAGGUGUAGUUGACCUUACAGUGAAAUGCUGAAUACAACAGGUGUAGUAGACCUUACAGUGAAAUGCUGAAUACAACAGGUGUAGUAGACCUCACAGUGAAAUGCUGAAUACAACAGGUGUAGUAGACCUUACAGUGAAAUGCUGAAUACAACAGGUGUAGUAGACCUUACAGUGAAAUGCUGAAUACAACAGGUGUAGUAGACCUUACAGUGAAAUGCUGAAUACAACAGGUGUAGUUGACCUUACAGUGAAAUGCUGAAUACAACAGGUGUAGUAGACCUUACAGUGAAAUGCUGAAUACAACAGGUGUAGUAGACCUUACAGUGAAAUGCUGAAUACAACAGGUGUAGUAGACCUUACAGUGAAAUGCUGAAUACAACAGGUGUAGUAGACCUUACAGUGAAAUGCUGAAUACAACAGGUGUAGUAGACCUCACAGUGAAAUGCUGAAUACAACAGGUGUAGUAGACCUUACAGUGAAAUGCUGAAUACAACAGGUGUAGUAGACCUUACAGUGAAAUGCUGAAUACAACAGGUGUAGUUGACCUCACAGUGAAAUGCUGAAUACAACAGGUGUAGU
This is a long non-coding RNA of Oncorhynchus keta (chum salmon), 602 nucleotides long. RefSeq lists it as uncharacterized. The record is from RefSeq and is a predicted model, not a curated record. Lineage: Eukaryota; Metazoa; Chordata; Actinopteri; Salmoniformes; Salmonidae. The transcript has 4 exons.